CCCUCCCUUCUUCCCUCUCUCCCACCUUCCCUUCCUCCUGCUUCACUGCCUCGUACAGUCUCAAGCAAGUCACUGCUCAGAGUGAAGCCCAGGGCAUAGGCUCUGAGGUGUCAUAGGAACAUGGCCGGGGCUGCUCAGCAUCAAGUCAGAAUUGGUUCCUUCAGCAGAGUGGGAUAAUGGAAUCAUUCUUUGUAAAUAAAGACAUCGAAGACAGAGGUUAGAGCUGAAAAAUGUCACCUGAGGUCAGCUGGUCCCACUCUCCCAGAAUACAGAGAGGAGCAAGCCCUUGAUGCAAAGCUCCACAACCAGACUUGACUUUUGAAGACCUGCUUCUCAGUGUCUAGAGUCUGACUUGCCUGAGUUUUUCAAGUGCUUCCUCAGUGGCGCUCACAACAGUCCUGGGGUGUAGGCAAGAGAAUUUCUAGUUAUAGGGAAGCUGAGGCUGGCCAGUGUCCAAGGUCACAGGGCCACUUGAGGUAGAGCUGGUGCUAGAACUGAGAAGGAUCCAGACUUUCUUUCUUUGCUAUGUAACUUGGAGCUUGUCUUCCACAGCAGAAACAGUAGUAACUGUGUUAGGCCAAGACAGCCUCUGGCCUUCCCCCUCCCAGCCCCAAACAGUUAUUGCUGGAUAAGGGUUACCUCAGGAGCCCUCGUGUAUCUUCCUGACCCAGACAGUCCAUCCCUGACUAAGACAUUCUUUUUCCUGGCAGGAGUUUGGUUUUCCAUGGGUCACUCUUUUUAAUAAAUGUCCUCUUCUCACCCUCUGCCCCCAAGCUACCCUCAGUUCCCGACACCUUAGUUUAGAUGGGUGUGGCAGCCACUUGGUCCCCUUUCGUACAAGAGGCUUCAGGCAGCUGCCACACAAUGCUGUGUGGUCUGAUGUAGGAUAUGAAUAUUUUAGAUCUGAGUUGUUCUUAGAGACUGGAACAUGUAAUUGCCAGAGGCAUGUGGACUCUGGUUCCCCGGUGAUAGGGAUGGAUGUAAGAAAGAUGCAUUGAAAACAGGAAAGAUGAUGGGGUAGGGUGAGGACAUUAUUUGCAAAUUCCCAGCUUCUCCAGGGCUGGCGUUGGGAGAUGGUUGCUAGCCCCUCAGACAUAGGUCAGCCCCUCUUUGACCCAGAAACCCUUCUAUCUCAGGCCCCCCCUCCCAGCACUUGUUUCUUUAGUAGCAGCUGCAGUAGUAACUGGUCUCUGUAUGUGACCCCAAAGUUACCCCCAGUGAACUCACUCUACCCUUAGCUAAUGUUCCCAAGGCUUUGCUCUCUGUCAGGAGGCAUCACUGUAGGUGACAGGGGCCACCAGGGAACUGUCAAUACAAGACAACAGGGUGUUGAACUCAUCAACCAGCUGCAAAAAUGUCAGUCCCGUGUGGCACCCUAGGAGUGAGUGUAUGUGACCAACUGGCUGGCUAGACCUCAGCCCUCAGAGUGACACCUGAAGGAGUGGCCAAAGGUGGCUGGUGAGAGUCCAGAGAUGGACGACUGCUAUCAACUAUUACGCUGAUGGCUCCUUAGUUUGCCCAGAAGACACAAAAGGAGGGACCUUCAAUGCCAAGGUGUCAAAGGGAGAGUGUUGCUGAUUUAGAACCCAGGUCUCCUUGUUCUCCUUGGCUUCCACGUAGAACGCAUGCUUGGCCUUUCAGGUAUACAUCUACUGAAUGGCACAAAUGAAAAGUCAGAAUGCAUUGAGGACCACACGAGCUAUGUGUACUCAGGACACUGCGGCAGAGUGCACGACCUUACUGACCAGGGAGCUUCUAACAGAUGUGGAGGACAGGUAGGAACACUGCCUCGCCCAUCACGGAUGGGGGUAGACUCCAGAAGGAAAAGAGGAAGUUAGCCUGUACUGUAUUUGGCUUGUGGUUGUGGUCUGGCGAAAACUGUUGGUGCUUGCACAUGAGAUAAGCACAGAAACUCUGAGUGAAUGCUUAGAAGUCGUUACCGCAGUUUCCCACCAGGCCCAAGACACGGUCGUUUUUCUAGAGAUUCAUUUUGAUAACAUUUCACAAAAGCAUUUAUCCACAACUGAUCCUUCACCGCCGAGAGCUUGAGAUGCACACCCUGCAACUGCUCAGUGGUAUCUGUGGCACCCCUCUCCCCGCUUUGGUCAUUGCUGUUGUUAGGACUGUGACUCCCCAGGAAGAGGCCCAGAAGAAUCUGGGGGAAAUCCAGAUGUCCCCAGGAAGACAGGGCUGUGGAAGCUUGAGGACAGCAUGAAGCUAGGGGAACGUCCUGCUCCCGGAAUGUUCUCCCUGAAGAUAACCUCAGCAUCCCACAUUGCCUCUGCUCUCAGCACCCCCUGCUGUGGCUGAGGUCCUAUCCUUUCCGCUGCAGACUGAGCCUGGUUUUCUGGUUUUAGCUGCUCCCAGGCACGUCAAACGUCAAACGGAGACAUUUUUGUUAAACACUUACUCUGAUGAACUCAUUUGCUUUUUCCCAGUGGCCUUGUGAGAUACGCUCUAUUUUUAAUCUUCAAUCUUAAAACAAAAUAGAGAUGGCUUUUCAAAAUUCACUCUGUAAGUGGCAGGAGUGGAAGAGGGCUUCCAGACUGCCCAUUCCAGGCUCAGGAUCCAAACUAGCUUUUGACAUAUUGGCUGGCUCUACCUUCUAGGGCCUUCAAAUCUGGUUCGGUUGGUGAGACCUGGAGUCUUAGCCAUCUGACAGUCCUGACUGUACACCCAGGUGAAGGGCCAGACCCUUACCCAGCCCCCUGCUUUAGCAGUCAUGACAGGCUGCAGAAAAGACCCAACAAGACAAAGGCCCCUGACUCAGCAACGUGUGCUUGCCUGACUUUGCCAGACCUCCUAGUCACCAGGAACUCAGAUACCUCCAUGUGGCAAGGAACCAAUCAGAAGUUAGCUGGCGGACUCUAGGCAUGCUUUACGGUAAAAGUGGGUAACAGUGGUAUGCAGAGCAUAGGAACCACCCUGAGAGGGCUUAUAGGUCAUAGCAACCAGCUGACCAAUCAACACAGGACAUGUUGCCCAACCCUGGAAGUGCACCAAUCCUGAGACUGUUGUGGACUUCAGACACUCCCCUUACACACCCCAAUAAAUUCCCUGCCUUGUGGUUUCCCCAGGUCCUUCUCUCCACCUGCCGUGAUGAACGGGACAAAAGGCAGUUAACUCGUUAAUAAUAAAAGAUUCUUUGCUUUUGCAUUA
Non-coding RNA from Cricetulus griseus (Chinese hamster), 3159 nucleotides. The record is from RefSeq and is a predicted model, not a curated record. NCBI's taxonomy places the organism in Eukaryota, Metazoa, Chordata, Mammalia, Rodentia, Cricetidae.